AAGGAGCUCACAGUCGAAUG
RNAcentral lists this microRNA (20 nucleotides) under Monodelphis domestica (gray short-tailed opossum). RNAcentral's name for it is "mdo-miR-28". Its record names the gene mdo-miR-28. The record is from miRBase by way of RNAcentral. Lineage: Eukaryota; Metazoa; Chordata; Mammalia; Didelphimorphia; Didelphidae.